CCGCCUCGCCCCCACGCCGCCGUCUUUCCUCCCCGCGCGCAGGGCGCCCUCAGCACCCACAACCUCUCCUACUGGCGGGCCCGGCCCUACGUGGGCGUGGGGCCAGGGGCCCACGGGCGGUUCGUGCCACGGGCCGAGGGCCACACGCAGCGGGAGGCCAGGACGCAGACACCGGAGCCGGACGCCUGGAUGCGGGAGGUGCGGGCGGCGGGGCACGGCACCCGGCGGCGGGCGCCGCUGAGCCCGCUCCAGCUCCUGGAGGAGGUGCUCGUCCUGGGGCUGCGCACCGACGUGGGCAUCACGCACCAGCACUGGCAGGAGUUCUCCCCGCACCUGAGCCUCUGGGAUGUGUUCGGGGCGCCGGGGGAGGCAAGGGAGCUGGCGGAGCAGGGCUGGCUCAUCCUGGACGGCAGCGGCCUGCGGUGCUCCUGGGAAGGGCUGGCCGUGCUGGACUCGCUGCUGCCGGCCCUGCUGUGCCAGCUGCAGCGGCGCUGGGCCUGCAACGCCACCCCGGCACCACCGUCCUAGUGGUGACGGCGGGACCCGGCCCCCGAGGAGGCGAUGGAGGCGCCAGCUCUCGAGGUCGAUCCCCGGGGCCGGCCAGGCGCGGGUGCACGAGCAGCGUUUGCAGGCCUGCAGAGAAGAAAAAGCGAAUAAACUGUUUUAGCAUUGCAGCGGAUGUCGG
Molecule: long non-coding RNA, 685 nt
Filed under: Apteryx owenii (little spotted kiwi)
Lineage: Eukaryota; Metazoa; Chordata; Aves; Apterygiformes; Apterygidae
Description: lncRNA (ENSAOWG00000000851.1)
Source: RNAcentral